UAAUACGUAGGUGGCGAGCGUUGUUCGGAUUUAUUGGGCGUAAAGGGUCCGUAGGAGGUUGGGUAAAUUUGACGUGAAAUCCCAGAGCUCAACUCUGGAACUGCGUUGGAGACUGCCCGACUAGAGGAUUGGAGAGGUAAGCGGAAUACCAGGUGUAGCGGUGGAAUGCGUAGAUAUCUGGUAGAACACCAAAAGCGAAGGCAGCUUACUGGACAAUAACUGACUCUGAAGGACGAAAGCGUGGGGAGCAAACAGG
Molecule: ribosomal RNA, 256 nt
Filed under: uncultured bacterium
Lineage: Bacteria
Description: partial 16S ribosomal RNA
Rfam family: Bacterial small subunit ribosomal RNA
Source: RNAcentral